Molecule: non-coding RNA, 146 nt
Organism: Cercophora samala
Lineage: Eukaryota; Fungi; Ascomycota; Sordariomycetes; Sordariales; Lasiosphaeriaceae
Source: the annotation of a GenBank genome assembly
GGGCCGCUGGUCUAGUGGUAUGAUUCUCGCUUAGGGUCCACCCACCCUGAGUUUGUUUACGAUUGAGCCUCUCUGCCUUUGGGUGGUGUGGGAGAGGAAACAAAAAGUUUGCGAGAGGUCCCGGGUUCAAUACCCGGGUUGGCCCC